RNAcentral lists this ribosomal RNA (252 nucleotides) under uncultured bacterium. RNAcentral describes it as "partial 16S ribosomal RNA". It matches the Rfam family "Bacterial small subunit ribosomal RNA", at positions 524 to 776 of the family's 1533-position model. The record is from RNAcentral.
UACGGGGGAUGCGAGCGUUAUCCGGAUUUAUUGGGUUUAAAGGGUGCGUAGGCGGGAUGCCAAGUCAGCGGUCAAAUACGGGGGCUCAACCUGCGUCCGCCGUUGAAACUGGCGUUCUUGAGUGGGCGAGAAGUACGCGGAAUGCGUGGUGUAGCGGUGAAAUGCAUAGAUAUCACGCAGAACCCCGAUUGCGAAGGCAGCGUACCGGCGCCCGACUGACGCUGAAGCACGAAAGCGUGGGUAUCGAACAGG